GAUGAACGCUGGCGGCGUGCCUAAUACAUGCAAGUCGAGCGAACAGACGAGGAGCUUGCUCCUCUGACGUUAGCGGCGGACGGGUGAGUAACACGUGGAUAACCUACCUAUAAGACUGGGAUAACUUCGGGAAACCGGAGCUAAUACCGGAUAAUAUAUUGAACCGCAUGGUUCAAUAGUGAAAGACGGUUUUGCUGUCACUUAUAGAUGGAUCCGCGCCGCAUUAGCUAGUUGGUAAGGUAACGGCUUACCAAGGCAACGAUGCGUAGCCGACCUGCGAGGGGGAUCGGCCACACGGGAACUGAGACACGGUCCAGACGCCUACGGGAGGCAGCAGUAGGGAAGCUGCCGCAAUGGGCGAAAGUCUGACGGAGCAACGCCGCGUGAGAGAUGAAGGUCUUCGGAUCGUAAAACUCGGUUUUUAGUGAAGAACAAAUGUGUAAGUAACUAUGCACGUCUUGACGGUACCUAAUCAGAAAGCCACGGCUAACUACGUG
This 497-nucleotide ribosomal RNA is filed under the name uncultured bacterium. RNAcentral describes it as "partial 16S ribosomal RNA". It matches the Rfam family "Bacterial small subunit ribosomal RNA", at positions 28 to 507 of the family's 1533-position model. The record is from RNAcentral.